GAACAGAGAACAGAUCAGGAGGAACACUUUGUCUAAGAUCAACUUUGACAACUAUAAAGCAAUUGUGUCUUUUGUGAACAUACACAAUUCCCACUGGAAGCUUCUGUACAUCAAUGCAGCAGAAAAAAACGUGUAUUUGGUUGACCCAGCACGCAGGUCCACAGAGCUGACAGACUCAGA
Molecule: long non-coding RNA, 180 nt
Organism: Platichthys flesus (European flounder)
Lineage: Eukaryota; Metazoa; Chordata; Actinopteri; Pleuronectiformes; Pleuronectidae
Exons: 3
Source: RefSeq, a predicted model, not a curated record